AUCUAGCUGACGAGUCUCAAAUAGGAUGAAACGCACGUCCUGGAU
RNAcentral lists this non-coding RNA (45 nucleotides) under Schistosoma mansoni. Lineage: Eukaryota; Metazoa; Platyhelminthes; Trematoda; Strigeidida; Schistosomatidae. The record is from RNAcentral.